This 118-nucleotide ribosomal RNA is filed under the name Diaphorina citri (Asian citrus psyllid). The record is from RNAcentral. Lineage: Eukaryota; Metazoa; Arthropoda; Insecta; Hemiptera; Psyllidae.
UGUAGAGGCGACAGCACAUUGAAUACACCAGUUUCCGAUGGAUCACUAAAGUUAAGCAACGCUGUGCGUGGUUAGUAUCUGGAUGGGUGACCAUCUGGGCUAUCGCGUCCUGCUGGCU